GAGAGGGCGACCGGCCACACUGGGACUGAGACACGGCCCAGACUCCUACGGGAGGCAGCAGUGGGGAAUAUUGCACAAUGGGCGAAAGCCUGAUGCAGCGACGCCGCGUGAGGGAUGACGGCCUUCGGGUUGUAAACCUCUUUCAGCAGGGAAGAAGCGAAAGUGACGGUACCUGCAGAAGAAGCGCCGGCUAACUACGUGCCAGCAGCCGCGGUAAUACGUAGGGCGCGAGCGUUGUCCGGAAUUAUUGGGCGUAAAGAGCUCGUAGGCGGCUUGUCGCGUCGGUUGUGAAAGCCCGGGGCUUAACCCCGGGUCUGCAGUCGAUACGGGCAGGCUAGAGUUCGGUAGGGGAGAUCGGAAUUCCUGGUGUAGCGGUGAAAUGCGCAGAUAUCAGGAGGAACACCGGUGGCGAAGGCGGAUCUCUGGGCCGAUACUGACGCUGAGGAGCGAAAGCGUGGGGAGCGAACAGGAUUAGAUACCCUGGUAGUCCACGCCGUAAACGGUGGGCACUAGGUGUGGGCGACAUUCCACGUCGUCCGUGCCGCAGCUAACGCAUUAAGUGCCCGCCUGGGGGGAGACGAGAUCCCCACU
RNAcentral lists this ribosomal RNA (591 nucleotides) under Streptomyces pilosus. RNAcentral describes it as "bacterial SSU rRNA". It matches the Rfam family "Bacterial small subunit ribosomal RNA", at positions 294 to 873 of the family's 1533-position model. Lineage: Bacteria; Bacillati; Actinomycetota; Actinomycetes; Kitasatosporales; Streptomycetaceae. The record is from RNAcentral.